UUAUGGCCAACAUACUAUCCCUCCAUUCACUGUUGGACAGCGACAAGCUCAUCGAACCCAACUUCAAUAGCUGAUAUCAAAAGUUGAAGAUCGUGUUGGAGCAUGAGAGGAUUUUAUAUGUCCUUAUGGAUUAGGCACCUGAAGAACCUACAGUCAAUGCUCCUCGUGCUGCAAGAGACACUUACAUGAAGUGGCUCAAUGAUUGCACGACUAUGUGUUGCA
This 222-nucleotide long non-coding RNA is filed under the name Elaeis guineensis (African oil palm). RNAcentral describes it as "long non-coding RNA (EGUI_LNC080574)". The record is from RNAcentral. Lineage: Eukaryota; Viridiplantae; Streptophyta; Magnoliopsida; Arecales; Arecaceae.